AUUCCAAUCGAACUCGGAGAUAGCUGGUUCUCCCCGAAAUAGCUUUAGGGCUAGCCUCAUAUUAGAUACCCGGAGGUAAAGCACUGAAUGGCCUAGCGCCCGAGAGGGUAGCGAAGCCUAUCAAACUAAGAAUGCCGGAGUAUUGAUGUAUGGGAGUCAGACAGUGUGAGAUAAAUCUCAUUGUCAAAAGGGAAACAGCCCAGAUCUACAGCUAAGGUCCCAAAUUGUAUCUAAGUGGAAAACGAUGUGGAAAUACGCAGACAACCAGGAUGUUGGCUCAGAAGCAGCCACUCAUUUAAAGAGUGCGUAAUAGCUCACUGGUCGAGCGUCUCUGCGCGGAAAAUUUAACGGGGCUAAGAUACAAACCGAAGCUUAGGCUGCAUCGUAAGAUGCGGGGUAGGGGAGCGUUGUGUAAGCGGAGAAACAGUAGCGUAAGCGGCUGUGGAGUUUACAGAAGUGAGAAUGCCGGAAUGAGUAGCGCGAAUGUGGUGAGAAUCCACAUGGCCGGAAACCUCAGGUUUUUGGAGGAAGGUUCGUCCGCUCCAAGUUAGGCGGGAGCUAAGGUCAGGCCGAAAGGCGUAGCCGAUGCACAGACGGUAGAGAUUCCGUCCCCACCGAAAGAUUUAAGCACAGGGACACUUUUUGAAGGUCGGAGCCAGGUGUUGGUUCUGGUAGUGAUCGAGGGAAAUAUAGUACCGAAGUCCGGCUGGAAGAGAGGCGAGAAAAGCUGUGUGUAUAUCUAAGGUGCCCGUACCGCAAACCGACACAGGUAGGUAGGAAGAAGAUUCUAAGGCCAACGGGAGAAGGGUUGUUAAGGAACUCGGCAAGUUGACCCCGUAACUUCGGAAUAAGGGGUGCUCACGAGAGUGAGCCGCAGAGAAUAGGCCCAGGCAACUGUUUACCAAAAACACAGGUUUGUGCUAAAUCGAAAGAUGACGUAUACGAGCUGACGCCUGCCCGGUGCUGGAAGGUUAAAAGGAGAUGUGCAAGCAUUGAAUUGAAGCCCCAGUGAACGGCGGCCGUAACUAUAACGGUCCUAAGGUAGCGAAAUUCCUUGUCAGGUAAGUUCUGACCCGCAUGAAAGGCGUAAUGAUUUGGGCACUGUCUCAACAGCCCGCCCGGCGAAAUUGUAGUACCGGUGAAGAUGCCGGUUACCCGCGACAAGACGGAAAGACCCCAUGGAGCUUUACUGUAGCCUGAUAUUGGGUUUCGGUGUUGCAUGCACAGGAUAGAUGGGACGCUAGGAAAGAAGCGCUUUGGCGUUUCUGGAGCGGACGUUGGGAUACCAUCCUUGCGACAUUGGAAUUCUAACCUGCGCCUCUGAAUCGAGGCGGGGGACAUUGUCAGGUGGGCAGUUUGACUGGGGCGGUCGCCUCCUAAAAAGUAGCGGAGGCGUUCAAAGGUUCGUUCGAUCUGGACGGAAACCAGAUGAUUGAGUGCAAACGCAUAAACGAGCCUGACUGCGAGACUGACGGGUCGAGCAGAGACGAAAGUCGGAGUUAGUGAUCCGGUGGUAUGUGAGUGGAAAUGCCAUCGCUCAACGGAUAAAA
RNAcentral lists this ribosomal RNA (1550 nucleotides) under human gut metagenome. RNAcentral's name for it is "bacterial LSU rRNA". It matches the Rfam family "Bacterial large subunit ribosomal RNA", at positions 826 to 2461 of the family's 2925-position model. The record is from RNAcentral.